AGAGUUUGAUCAUGGCUCAGAUUGAACGCUGGCGGCAUGCCUUACACAUGCAAGUCGAACGGCAGCACGGGGGUAACCCUGGUGGCGAGUGGCGAACGGGUGAGUAAUACAUCGGAACGUGUCCUGGAGUGGGGGAUAGCUCGGCGAAAGCCGGAUUAAUACCGCAUACGCUCUGAGGAGGAAAGCGGGGGAUCUUCGGACCUCGCGCUCAAGGGGCGGCCGAUGGCGGAUUAGCUAGUUGGUGGGGUAAAGGCCUACCAAGGCGACGAUCCGUAGCUGGUCUGAGAGGACGACCAGCCACACUGGGACUGAGACACGGCCCAGACUCCUACGGGAGGCAGCAGUGGGGAAUUUUGGACAAUGGGGGAAACCCUGAUCCAGCAAUGCCGCGUGUGUGAAGAAGGCCUUCGGGUUGUAAAGCACUUUUGUUCGGGAAGAAAUCCUUCGAGCUAAUACCUUGAGGGGAUGACGGUACCGGAAGAAUAAGCACCGGCUAACUACGUGCCAGCAGCCGCGGUAAUACGUAGGGUGCGAGCGUUAAUCGGAAUUACUGGGCGUAAAGCGUGCGCAGGCGGUUCGCUAAGACCGAUGUGAAAUCCCCGGGCUUAACCUGGGAACUGCAUUGGUGACUGGCGGGCUAGAGUAUGGCAGAGGGGGGUAGAAUUCCACGUAGCAGUGAAAUGCGUAGAGAUGUGGAGGAAUACCGAUGGCGAAGGCAGCCCCCUGGGCCAAUACUGACGCUCAUGCACGAAAGCGUGGGGAGCAAACAGGAUUAGAUACCCUAGUAGUCC
RNAcentral lists this ribosomal RNA (791 nucleotides) under uncultured bacterium. Its description in RNAcentral is "bacterial SSU rRNA". It matches the Rfam family "Bacterial small subunit ribosomal RNA", at positions 8 to 796 of the family's 1533-position model. The record is from RNAcentral.